CCCCUAGAUGUUCUGGGCCGCACGCGCGCUACAAUGAACAGUUCAACAAGUCUUAACCUUGGCCGAUAGGUCUGGGUAAUCUUUGAACGCUGUUCGUGAUUGGGAUAGACCUUUGCAAUUAUGGGUCUUCAACGAGGAAUUCCUAGUAAACGCAAGUCAUCAGCUUGCAUUGAUUACGUCCCUGCCCUUUGUACACACCGCCCGUCGCACCUACCGAUUGAAUGGUCCGGUGAAAUCUCGGGACGGCGGCUUGGUCGCUUGCGUCCGACUGCUGAAACUUGAUUAAACCAUAUCAUUUAGAGGAAGGUGAAGUCGUAACA
RNAcentral lists this ribosomal RNA (320 nucleotides) under uncultured eukaryote. RNAcentral's name for it is "partial 18S ribosomal RNA". It matches the Rfam family "Eukaryotic small subunit ribosomal RNA", at positions 1470 to 1796 of the family's 1831-position model. The record is from RNAcentral.